This is a long non-coding RNA of Mustela erminea (ermine), 2455 nucleotides long. RefSeq lists it as uncharacterized. The transcript is spliced from 3 exons. Lineage: Eukaryota; Metazoa; Chordata; Mammalia; Carnivora; Mustelidae. The record is from RefSeq and is a predicted model, not a curated record.
CUUUGCCUUUAUCAGCUGCCACGGGCAGAUGAAGAGACAGAGGGUCAGAGAAGAGGAGUGGCGUGGCUCAGAUUACCCAGGGCAAAGCAGCAGAGAAGCAGGGUCUGAGCUGGGGUCUCAGGGCCCUGAGGGCCAUCCUGCAGGUGCAUGACUGCACCCCACACAAUGUCGUGAAUGUCGUAUUGGCCAGAAUUGGGUCACGUGCACAUUUCUGAACCCAUCCCAGAGAAGGGAGAUUGGCUGGCUCACAGACCCAUCGAGGCCGUCCCUGGAGCUGGUGGUGGGCUCAGCUAUCCCUGAGGGGCCCGGUCAGCGGAGGCUGUCAGGACUCUGAUAAAGCCGGGGUUCGUCCUUCCGGGUAAGAACCAGCAGAAAUACCCGCAACCCGUUCCUUCCUGAAGGGUGACGUCCACACUGCUGACGGCACACAAGCCCCCUGAAUCCCAUCCUCAGAAACAAUCAUGCCCAUCAGUGUUUCCUCCCAGACAUAUUACGGGCAGACACCAGGACAUACGUGUGUACAUACAUGUGUUGCCCCAGACAGGCGUUCAGAUGGAAACCCACAGCGAGGCCAGAGGGCCCGGCCAGCGGCAGAGAGAGAGCAGGCUCCCGGCCUCGCCGACAAGGGUACCGAGUCCAGGGAAGUCGGGAAACCCUCGGUGUUGGUACCUCCCCGCGUCUGUAUUUUGCACAGCCCCCUGUGUUUCUGCCGCGGGUCUUGGGAUGGAAGAAGGCGGGCAGGACCCAGCAGUUCAAAGGGAUCCGCCUGGGUAUUUGUGCCCGGGCAAAUCAGCCGAAUGAAUAACACAGCAAGCUGGGGACAGCUUUGUCGCUGUCCCUAAUCAUUCAGAACCAACCGCUCGCUCAGACGAGACCCGGGGCACCGCCUCGGCCUCCUCACUCUCGCGAUCUGCCAGCACCAUAAUUAUCUUAUUACCAGCCACCUUGUGCUAAUAACCUUUCCCUUUAUUACUGAGAAAGGAAUUAGAGAGAACUAAUAGAGCGCGGCCAGUAAUUCAUUUGUGACCUUGCAUGUUUUUUACCCUGGGCGCCCAGUGAAGACAGAAGUCAGGGGAAGGCGCCCCCCCCACCCCCACCGCCCCGGGGCUCUGGUUCUUCUCCGACCGUUUCGUGAUGUGCUGUCCACAGAGCUUCCCCUUCUGGGGACACGUCUCAGGUUCUGCUGGUCCUGAGCUGCCCCCUGCUUGGGCAAGAGCAGGGGUUCUGGGGAGUCGUCCCCUGGAGGAUGGGAAGGGCAGGGACAGGGGACACGACCCUUCCCUGGCCUGGUGUGGCCUCCUGCUUCCUCUUGGCCUGAGCACAGCAGUCAGCUGCGGUCCGUGGUGGUCAUGUGUCAGCUGAAUCCUCUGGCACGUGUGUCCUUGCUCUUGAUGGGGACGGUGGCUUCCCUGUCGUGGGGAAGAAAGCUUCCAGCAGUCUGCUUUCCCAGUGCAGGGAACCCUGGCUGGUGGCUGGCCCGGAUCCCUCGGAGCCCUUGGCGAAUCUGCGCCUUCAGCCCCAGGUUCUGCGUGCUGUCUGCUGCUGACGGCCGGCAAGGCUCCCGAGGGCUGGCUCUGGGCUGCUGGAGGCCUCUCACCGCCCUGCCUGGCGAUGACGUCCCCUGGCACAGCUGUCUGGCAGCACCAGCUGGCACAGGGAUGAGUGCCUGGUCCUAAGGGGGGGGCCCCGUGCCCACAGCUCCCCGUGGGACCAGGCCAAGGCCAAGACUUAACCUAAAACUGCCCCCUUUCCUGACUCACUUCCCCUCUCCCUCCCCAGCUGUGCCAGGAGCACGACCUUAGCCGUAAGUCACCCUCAUAGAACUGUCACCUCAGAGUCUGCCUCUGAGGAGACCGACCCGAGACACCGUUCUGAGCUAGGAGAGGCCCCGGGACCUAAUUCUGGCCAGCGGACGUGAAGGAAGAGUCUGGGGAAGGUUUUCCCUCCCUGAGGAGCACAAUUGUGUGAGGAAACGUGGCCAUGGCGGCCAUUAUGAGCUCAGGAGGGGUGCCGCAUGGAGUGGGUAUGGGUCUUGGGUCCUUGUGGUUGCCACCGAGCUGGCCACCAGUCCUGCGGCCACCUGCCCGUAUCUCCACCUCUGUUCUUGUGAGAGUACACUGGCCCUUUCUCAUGGAAUCUUCUAGUCAGAUGUGGUUACUUGCAGCAGGAAGCAUGCUCACUGACAGAGACCCCCCAAGACCCCAACCAUGCCCGGGAUUGACCCCCAAUGACCCCUGUCUGGUGAGUGCAUUAGACCUGUGGGGGGACGUUCACCCUCCGUCUGACCAACAGAACGCGAAAGGAGGACUUCUGGGUCCUCCUGGGGAGAAGGUCUAUGUGCGCUCCCCACACUGUCAUGGCCGCCGGGCCCAGGAGAAUGUCACCACCGGCCUCUCCAGUGGAUGGAUUCAGAGUCCAGCUACUAUGCCUGGGGCCCACGGGGUUGGGGUGGAGA